This 253-nucleotide ribosomal RNA is filed under the name uncultured bacterium. RNAcentral's name for it is "partial 16S ribosomal RNA". It matches the Rfam family "Bacterial small subunit ribosomal RNA", at positions 524 to 776 of the family's 1533-position model. The record is from RNAcentral.
UACAGAGGGUGCAAGCGUUAAUCGGAAUUACUGGGCGUAAAGCGCGCGUAGGCGGCUAAGUAAGUCGGGUGUGAAAGCCCCGGGCUCAACCUGGGAACUGCAUCCGAUACUGUUUAGCUAGAGUAUGAGAGAGGGAGGUAGAAUUCCACGUGUAGCGGUGAAAUGCGUAGAUAUGUGGAGGAAUACCGGUGGCGAAGGCGGCCUCCUGGCUCAAUACUGACGCUGAGGUGCGAAAGCGUGGGGAGCAAACAGG